GAUGAACGCUAGCGGCAGGCUUAAUACGUGCAAGUCAAGGGGGUAGCAAUACAACCGGCGCACGGGUGAGUAACGCGUACACAACAUACCAUAUACUGGAGUAUAGCUUUGGGAAACUGAAGGUAAUCCUCCAUAACAUUGCGAGAGGGCAUCUGAUUGCAAUUAAAGUUUCGGCGGUAUAUGAUUGGUGUGCGUUUGAUUAGCUAGUUGAUAGGGUAACGGCCUACCAAGGCGACGAUCAAUAGCUGGCGUGAGAGCGCGACCAGCCACACUGGAACUGAGACACGGUCCAGACUCCUACGGGAGGCAGCAGUAGGGAAUAUUGGACAAUGGAGGAAACUCUGAUCCAGCCAUGCCGCGUGAAGGAUGAAGGCCUUAGGGUUGUAAAGUCCUUUCUAGAUGGGAAGAUAAUGACGGUACCAUCAGAAGAAGCCCCGGCUAACUACCGUGCCAGCAGCCGCGGU
RNAcentral lists this ribosomal RNA (464 nucleotides) under uncultured bacterium. RNAcentral's name for it is "bacterial SSU rRNA". It matches the Rfam family "Bacterial small subunit ribosomal RNA", at positions 28 to 521 of the family's 1533-position model. The record is from RNAcentral.